This 76-nucleotide transfer RNA is filed under the name Chloroflexia bacterium. Its description in RNAcentral is "tRNA-Gly". It matches the Rfam family "tRNA". From Rfam's summary of the family: Transfer RNA (tRNA) molecules are approximately 80 nucleotides in length. Their secondary structure includes four short double-helical elements and three loops (D, anti-codon, and T loops). Lineage: Bacteria; Bacillati; Chloroflexota; Chloroflexia. The record is from RNAcentral.
GCGGGAGUAACUCAGUUGGUAGAGUACCUGCCUUCCAAGCAGGCUGUCGCCGGUUCGAGUCCGGUCUCCCGCUCCA